GGAUCUGGGCUCUGCUAUGUAUAUGUUUAAAAGUCUAAUUCCAUCAGUUAUUAAUUUGUCUCUCUCCCACACGUUUUUGGAAAUGUGAUGAAUGUUUCUUACAGUUCCUUCCUGAAGUUUUCUUGCUGUAGGAAAUAACUAGUUCUCUCUUGUUUGGUUAUUACAGAUUGCUAUUCUAACUUCUGUACAAUCAAAGACCCAAGACCAGCUUUGGAGAGUUUUCCUGAGUAAAUCAAAUCAUCCUCAUAGAGCAACAAAGAAGAUGCUCCACUCUGGACCUACAUGUAUUGUGACCUCGGGGACAGGCCAGGAAAAAUUCUGUAAAUGGAACAAGACCAUCACCUUCCAUUGCAGGGCACAUGAUUGAAGGAGAAAAGUGUGCUGUCAAAGCAGGGAGACCUGUUCAGUUUAUUUACUCUCUUUCAGCUGCUUAUUUU
RNAcentral lists this long non-coding RNA (437 nucleotides) under Apteryx owenii (little spotted kiwi). RNAcentral describes it as "lncRNA (ENSAOWG00000010117.1)". Lineage: Eukaryota; Metazoa; Chordata; Aves; Apterygiformes; Apterygidae. The record is from RNAcentral.